Long non-coding RNA from Asparagus officinalis (garden asparagus), 455 nucleotides. RefSeq lists it as uncharacterized. Lineage: Eukaryota; Viridiplantae; Streptophyta; Magnoliopsida; Asparagales; Asparagaceae. The transcript is spliced from 2 exons. The record is from RefSeq and is a predicted model, not a curated record.
CCCCCCCCUCCCCUCAUUCUCUCAUCUCUCCGUCUCCAAUACCCUAGUUCGACCUCAGCUCUUCAAUUCUAGGGUUUCUCUCUCAUUUCCCCCAAAUUCGACCUCAGCUGCAAGAUCUAAGCCCAGUCAAUGCCCCAAUCCAGGGAAAAUUGGGUCCUGACUGGUCACCAUUACCCUCUUCUGAGAUCAGCGGUUGUUGAUCUCUAAUUUGGUGCAGAUUCGAGUCUUCUGUGUUGUGCAAGUGCGAAGCUACGAACGGACCAGUUUUGAGUUUCCAUGUCAAGCACACGAUUGGAAUUGGUAUAUAUCAACCGUUCGUUCGAUGUAUUUUGUUCAUGGCAUUGAUUGUAAUAGACUUUGUUGGUUAAGAUCUUCUAUAUGAAAUUGACUGUAAUAUACUUUGCGACUAGAAAUGGAUUAUACUUUAUAUUGGGAAUACCAUGACAUUUACUUUA